This 526-nucleotide ribosomal RNA is filed under the name bacterium 'H. scabra 90 (SW-F-M-H)'. RNAcentral describes it as "bacterial SSU rRNA". It matches the Rfam family "Bacterial small subunit ribosomal RNA", at positions 358 to 876 of the family's 1533-position model. The record is from RNAcentral.
GGAAUAUUGCACAAUGGGCGCAAGCCUGAUGCAGCCAUGCCGCGUGUAUGAAGAAGGCCUUCGGGUUGUAAAGUACUUUCAGCAGUGAGGAAGGGGGUGUCGUUAAUAGCGGCAUCUCUUGACGUUAGCUGCAGAAGAAGCACCGGCUAACUCCGUGCCAGCAGCCGCGGUAAUACGGAGGGUGCGAGCGUUAAUCGGAAUUACUGGGCGUAAAGCGCAUGCAGGUGGUUUGUUAAGUCAGAUGUGAAAGCCCGGGGCUCAACCUCGGAACUGCAUUUGAAACUGGCAAACUAGAGUACUGUAGAGGGGGGUAGAAUUUCAGGUGUAGCGGUGAAAUGCGUAGAGAUCUGAAGGAAUACCAGUGGCGAAGGCGGCCCCCUGGACAGAUACUGACACUCAGAUGCGAAAGCGUGGGGAGCAAACAGGAUUAGAUACCCUGGUAGUCCACGCCGUAAACGAUGUCUACUUGGAGGUUGUGGCCUUGAGCCGUGGCUUUCGGAGCUAACGCGUUAAGUAGACCGCCUGG